GACGAACGCUGGCGGCGUGCCUAAUACAUGCAAGUCGGGCGGACAAAGAGGAGUUUGCUCCUCGAUGUUAGCGGCGGACGGGUGAGUAACACGUGGGCAACCUGCCUGUAAGACUGGGAUAACUUCGGGAAACCGGAGCUAAUACCGGAUAAUGCUUUUGAACUCAUGUUCGACAGCUGAAAGAUGGUUUCGGCUAUCACUUACAGAUGGGCCCGCGGCGCAUUAGCUAGUCGGUGAGGUAACGGCUCACCAAGGCAACGAUGCGUAGCCGACCUGAGAGGGUGAUCGGCCACACUGGGACUGAGACACGGCCCAGACUCCUACGGGAGGCAGCAGUAGGGAAUCUUCUGCAAUGGACGAAAGUCUGACGGAGCGACGCCGCGUGAGUGAUGAAGGUUUUCGGAUCGUAAAACUCUGUUGUUAGGGAAGAACAAGUACCGGAGUAACUGCCGGUACCUUGACGGUACCUAACCAGAAAGCCACGGCUAACUACGUG
RNAcentral lists this ribosomal RNA (496 nucleotides) under uncultured bacterium. RNAcentral's name for it is "partial 16S ribosomal RNA". It matches the Rfam family "Bacterial small subunit ribosomal RNA", at positions 28 to 507 of the family's 1533-position model. The record is from RNAcentral.